CUCUGUUGUAUUUUGCAUUUUUCAGGAACUUUCAGGUGAUGAAGCAGACUUUGACCAAGCUCUUUUCAAGUUUUAUGUGAACCAAGCUCAUUAUUUCUCUUUUUUGCUUGUUGUUCUUGAGGAUGCUACUGUAGCCACUAAAAAUCCAACCAAUUUUGAGUAGAAAUUCAUAUAUGCCUGGGCUUCUUCUUUUGUUUUGAACUACAUGCCUAACUGUGGCUUAAAAUUGCUGCUGGUGUUCAUAAGAUUGCCUUCUGAUGCAGUCUCUUGUUCAUUUUGCAGGAACCUCUCAAUGUCUUCUUCAUCGAGGUAUUCAUUGUCUGCGUCUUGUUCAUGUGAGUCCUCCGUUUCUCCCCUUUGUCCUUCUUGAUUUAUCUGGUUUGUGUUUGACUUUGAUUUAUUUGUUGUGGAACUAGGGUCAGUAUCUUCAGGGACCUGCAAAAUUAUUCUUUUUGUGUCCGUUUUAAUUUUCAAACAGGUUUGUACAAAUACGUUCAUAUUCUAUUUGUGACUUUGAUUUAUCUAUUUAUGUGGCUACCUGUUCCAAACUGAUGUUGUCAAACAUGUGUGCCUCCCAGGGAUUAGGUUCUGUUGUGCCUUCUUCGCUUGCUGUAGCUUCAUGAUGCAUUUCCUGCAAUGUCUGCAGUGUAAGUGAGAUGUUACUUUCUCUCUUUUUUCUCAGUUCAGAUAUGAGUUAUUCAGUACUAGUUUUCCUCUCCAUCUUGUGUAAUGUUUGCAGCACCAUCUCCCGAAUGUACCCGUGAGCGUCAUGAUUUCUUUUAAUUUAAAACUUCUCCUUCUCACAGAUUUGUAGCUAUGCAGUAUUUGAAUUUCCAUUUUACCUUGUAGAUAAUGUCUGAAUUGAGGAGCGCUGUGAAUGAAAAUGAUUCCCGCAAAAAAAAAUUUGUUAGCAUGAAUGUAUUGUAUAUAGCAUUUUCCUCUAUUGAUUUUUGCAAUCAAUUUGCUAGUAUUUAUACAUGUCUCACAUUUAGAAUGAGUUCUUCUUGUGACAUUGACAGUAGAUCCUCUCCAGUCACUCUUCCUAUCAUGCUCCCCAUCUGCAAUAUUGAAGAUUAAAUGUGAGAGAAUUUUAAUUUUGUAAGCGGCAAACUGUUAUCAGUGAUAGCUCUUUUCUCUGCAUGUAUUUCCUAAGCAGAAAACUGUCAAUAUUAACUUUUUAAGCUCCAAACUACAAAUCAUUUUUUAAGGAGCAAAGUGUGAGUUCCUGGUUUUGGACACUGUAAAUCCUGGGUGGCAUGAGGUGUUUUUACAGUGUAAAUCGGUAGUUUGAAUGGUAAAUGUUGGGUGCUUACUAUGUUUAUACAAUGUAAAUUCCAAGGUCUUUGGACUGUAUUUGUAAUGUAUUAAGAAUGUAAAUUCCAGUGCCAUUAUACUGAAUUUACAGUGUAGAUAUAUGCAUUUUUACAGUGUAAAUUCCAGGGUUUUAGUACUGAAUUUACAGUGCUAAAACUUGGGUAUUUACCUUUACCGUGUAAUUAUAGGGCCAUUAUACUGAAUUUACAGUGUAAAUACUUGUGUAUUUACAGUGUAAUUACAGGGCCAUUGUACUGAAUUUACAGUGUAAAUACUUGGGUAUUUACAGUGUAGUUACAGUACAAAGGCCCUGAAUAUCUUGGGUAUUUACACUGUAAAUUCAUGCAUUUGUACACUGUAUGUUGUAGGGUUUUGCAUUAUAUUUACAGUGUAAUUUCCAGGGCCAUUGUAUUGAAUUUACAGUGUAGUUACAGGGUCAUUGUACUGAAUUUCAUGUAGGCUUCUUCAUCACACUGUAUUAUUCCCUUGAUUUACUGUGUAAUUCCCAUGCUUAGUAACUAUUUUUUUGGAUAUAUUAAUGUGUAAUAUUCCCAUAUUUACGUUUUGUAGUUCCCUUGCUUCAAAUUUGUAAUUAUGGUUGUACUGUAAUUCCCAUGCCCAGUCAUUGUAUUCUUUAGUUAUAGUGAAGUGUAAUUUUCCUCAGGUUUCUUGUGUAACUCCCAUGAUUUUCAUGUAUGCUUCUUCAUCACUCUGUAAUAUUUCUCUGAUUUACUCUGUAAUUCCAAUGCUUAGUCACUGUAUUUUUUGGAUAUAUUAUGGUGUAAUGUACCCAUAUUGUAAUUCCAAUGCCUCAUUUUUGUAGUAAAGCUCAUAUUGUAAUUCCCAUGCAUCGUCUCUGUAAUUUUCAGCUAUAUUACAGUGUAAUAUGGCCUAGUAUUACAGUGUAAUUUUGGGGUAUUGUACUCUGUAUUUGCCAUGCUUCUCCUAUGUAAUUCCUGUACAACAUUAGUGCGUCUUAUUUGCAACCAUAUAGGUCCUGAUAAGUUUUCUUAUUCUUUGUUGUUAAUGUAGUAUUUGAUUUAGGAUUUAUGUAGCAUUGUUUAAGAGUGUUUUGGUUUUGUAGUUUGAGGAGGGUCCUGGCAACCAGUUUUUUCAUGUUUAAUGGGUAGGCUAUGGAAAGUCUAUCAUUAGGGCGUUCCGUUAGCAUAUUCUUUUGAGAGUGCAGAUUGUUUUGCUGACGAACCAUUUGCGCCUGUCAACGGUAGCUAUUUCUUUCUUUUUCUCUACUUUUUUUCAAUUAUUAUUUCUUGAAGUCUGUUUAUUUAUUUUGUGUCUAUUGUAUUUUGCAUUUUUCAGGAACUUUCAGGUGAUGAAGCAGACUUUGACCAAGCUCUUUUCAAGUUUUAUGUGAACCAAGCUCAUUAUUUCUCUUUUUUGCUUGUUGUUCUUGAGGAUGCUACUGUAGCCACUAAAAAUCCAACCAAUUUUGAGUAGAAAUUCAUAUAUGCCUGGGCUUCUUCUUUUGUUUUGAACUACAUGCCUAACUGUGGCUUAAAAUUGCUGCUGGUGUUCAUAAGAUUGCCUUCUGAUGCAGUCUCUUGUUCAUUUUGCAGGAACCUCUCAAUGUCUUCUUCAUCGAGGUAUUCAUUGUCUGCGUCUUGUUCAUGUGAGUCCUCUGUUUCUCCCCUUUGUCCUUCUUGAUUUAUCUGGUUUGUGUUUGACUUUGAUUUAUUUGUUGUGGAACUAGGGUCGGUAUCUUCAGGGACCUGCAAAAUUAUUCUUUUUGUGUCCGUUUUAAUUUUCAAACAGGUUUGUACAAAUACGUUCAUAUUCUAUUUGUGACUUUGAUUUAUCUAUUUAUGUGGCUACCUGUUCCAAACUGAUGUUGUCAAACAUGUGUGCCUCCCAGGGAUUAGGUUCUGUUGUGCCUUCUUCGCUUGCUGUAGCUUCAUGAUGCAUUUCCUGCAAUGUCUGCAGUGUAAGUGAGAUGUUACUUUCUCUCUUUUUUCUCAGUUCAGAUAUGAGUUAUUCAGUACUAGUUUUCCUCUCCAUCUUGUGUAAUGUUUGCAGCACCAUCUCCCGAAUGUACCUGUGAGCAUCAUGAUUUCUUUUAAUUUAAAACUUCUCCUUCUCACAGAUUUGUAGCUAUGCAGUAUUUGAAUUUCCAUUUUACCUUGUAGAUAAUGUCUGAAUUGAGGAGCGCUGUGAAUGAAAAUGAUUCCCGCAAAACAUUUUUUGUUAGCAUGAAUGUAUUGUAUAUAGCAUUUUCCUCUAUUGGUUUUUGCAAUCAGUUUGCUAGUAUUUAUACAUGUCUCACAUUUAGAAUGAGUUCUUCUUGUGACAUUGACAGUAGAUCCUCUCCAGUCACUCUUCCUAUCAUGCUCCCCAUCUGCAAUAUUGAAGAUUAAAUGUGAGAGAAUUUUAAUUUUGUAAGCGGCAAACUGUUAUCAGUGAUAGCUCUUUUCUCUGCAUGUAUUUCCUAAGCAGAAAACUGUCAAUAUUAACUUUUUAAGCUCCAAACUACAAAUCAUUUUUUAAGGAGCAAAGUGUGAGUUCCUGGUUUUGGACACUGUAAAUCCUGGGUGGCAUGAGGUGUUUUUACAGUGUAAAUCGGUAGUUUGAAUGGUAAAUGUUGGGUGCUUACUAUGUUUAUACAAUGUAAAUUCCAAGGUCUUUGGACUGUAUUUGUAAUGUUUUUG
RNAcentral lists this long non-coding RNA (3974 nucleotides) under Triticum aestivum (bread wheat). RNAcentral describes it as "long non-coding RNA (TAES_LNC001972)". Lineage: Eukaryota; Viridiplantae; Streptophyta; Magnoliopsida; Poales; Poaceae. The record is from RNAcentral.